Molecule: ribosomal RNA, 638 nt
Filed under: uncultured soil bacterium
Lineage: Bacteria
Description: bacterial SSU rRNA
Rfam family: Bacterial small subunit ribosomal RNA
Source: RNAcentral
ACAUGCAAGUCGAACGAGAAAGUGGAGCAAUCCAUGAGUAAAGUGGCGCACGGGUGAGUAACACGUGACUAACCUACCCUUGAGUGGGGAAUAACCUCGGGAAACCGGGGCUAAUACCGCAUAAUACCUUCGGGUCAAAGGAGCAAUUCGCUUAAGGAGGGGGUCGCGGCUGAUUAGCUAGUUGGUGGGGUAAUGGCCUACCAAGGCAAUGAUCAGUAUCCGGCCUGAGAGGGCGCACGGACACACUGGAACUGAAACACGGUCCAGACUCCUACGGGAGGCAGCAGUGGGGAAUUUUGCACAAUGGGGGAAACCCUGAUGCAGCAACGCCGCGUGGAGGAUGAAGUCCCUUGGGAUGUAAACUCCUUUCGACCGGGACGAUUAUGACGGUACCGGUGGAAGAAGCCCCGGCUAACUCUGUGCCAGCAGCCGCGGUAAUACAGAGGGGGCAAGCGUUGUUCGGAAUUAUUGGGCGUAAAGGGUGCGUAGGCGGUGCGGUAAGUCUUCUGUGAAAUCUCCGGGCUCAACUCGGAGUCUGCAGGAGAAACUGCCGUGCUUGAGUAUGGGAGAGGUGAGUGGAAUUCCUGGUGUAGCGGUGAAAUGCGUAGAUAUCAGGAGGAACACCUGUGGCGAAAGCG